RNAcentral lists this ribosomal RNA (440 nucleotides) under uncultured bacterium. Its description in RNAcentral is "partial 16S ribosomal RNA". It matches the Rfam family "Bacterial small subunit ribosomal RNA", at positions 338 to 795 of the family's 1533-position model. The record is from RNAcentral.
CCUACGGGAGGCAGCAGUAGGGAAUGUUGCGCAAUGGGCGAAAGCCUGACGCAGCAACGCCGCGUGAACGAGACGCACUUCGGGGUGUAAAGGUCUGUCAGGGGGGACGAAAAAUGACGGUACCCACAGAGGAAGCACCGGCUAACGCCGUGCCAGCAGCCGCGGUAAUACGGAGGGUGCAAGCGUUGUCCGGAAGCAUUGGGCGUAACGAGUUCGGAGGAGGCAUGUACAGUCAGGUGUUAAAGGCGCAGGCUCAACCCGUGUAUGGCACUUUAUACUUGCAAGCUGGAAUGCGGUAGAGGUAACGGGCAUUCCUGGUGUAGCGGUGAACUGCUUAGAUAUCAGGAGGACCAUCGGUGGCGUACGCGCUUUACUGGGCCGUAAUUGACGCUGAGGAACGACAGCCCGGGUAGCACAUGGGCUUCGAUACCCGAGUAGUC